This is a long non-coding RNA of Arabidopsis lyrata subsp. lyrata, 628 nucleotides long. RefSeq lists it as uncharacterized. Lineage: Eukaryota; Viridiplantae; Streptophyta; Magnoliopsida; Brassicales; Brassicaceae. The transcript is spliced from 3 exons. The record is from RefSeq and is a predicted model, not a curated record.
AAAAAGGAAAGAUAAGAGUAACUAUCAAAUCCAGAGAAGCAUGAGAUCAUUAUUAAAGCUUGUAAGUGGUGAUCAUAUACCAGAGAGUCUCGGUCGGUGGUAACUGAAUUACGCAAAAUCGAACCAAUGUUUGUCGUCAAGUUCUGAAGAGAGAUCUUGGACGUGCCUAACUCCUGGGAUGCUUAAUAACAGGAAAUUCUUUCCAAGUCGUCAUCUCUUAAUUCAAGAGGCUGAUGAUCAAACAACCUGCGCGCCGGAUCUCCACCACAUACGGGUAAUAGUGUCUCUGAAACAAGGAAGAUUCGUUAAUAUUGGAUUAAAGGAGCAGCAUCAUUAUAAUUCCUUACAUCAUUUGCCUCAGAAUUUGUCACCUACAGCAUUAAUAGAGCACUGAUCAAUGAACUAGAUAGAUAUAAUGUAACAUAAUCAUCAACGGCAGUUCUGAAGUUUAGAUACACACAGGUGGUAGGUCACUAAUAGCAUCAGCCAGCGUAAGAGCGUUGUCUAAUUGAAGAAGCUCCUUUUGAAUAAGUCCAACUUGUAAAUCCUGCAUUUACAACAGAUGAAUAAGCAAUGAAAUUAUAAGUGUCUUUUAAAUUUAAAUGUACAACCGUCCACACUUGCCUCA